AGAGUUUGAUCCUGGCUCAGGAUGAACGCUAGCGACAGGCUUAACACAUGCAAGUCGAGGGGCAGCAUUGUUUGUAGCAAUACGAACAGAUGGCGACCGGCGCACGGGUGAGUAACGCGUAUGCAACCUGCCUAUCAGAGGGGAAUAACCCGGCGAAAGUCGGACUAAUACCGCAUAAAACAGGGGGCCCGCAUGGGAAUAUUUGUUAAAGAGUUAUCGCUGAUAGAUGGGCAUGCGUUCCAUUAGAUAGUUGGUGGGGUAACGGCCCACCAAGUCCACGAUGGAUAGGGGUUCUGAGAGGAAGGUCCCCCACACUGGUACUGAGACACGGACCAG
This 336-nucleotide ribosomal RNA is filed under the name uncultured bacterium. RNAcentral describes it as "bacterial SSU rRNA". It matches the Rfam family "Bacterial small subunit ribosomal RNA", at positions 8 to 334 of the family's 1533-position model. The record is from RNAcentral.